Molecule: ribosomal RNA, 455 nt
Filed under: uncultured bacterium
Lineage: Bacteria
Description: bacterial SSU rRNA
Rfam family: Bacterial small subunit ribosomal RNA
Source: RNAcentral
AUUGAACGCUGGCGGCAUGCUUUACACAUGCAAGUCGAACGGUAACAGGCCUUCGGGUGCUGACGAGUGGCGAACGGGUGAGUAAUGCAUCGGAACGUGCCCAGUAGUGGGGGAUAGCCCGGCGAAAGCCGGAUUAAUACCGCAUACGACCUACGGGUGAAAGGGGGGGAGUCGCAAGACCUCUCGCUAUUGGAGCGGCCGAUGUCAGAUUAGGUAGUUGGUGGGGUAAAGGCCUACCAAGCCUGCGAUCUGUAGCUGGUCUGAGAGGACGACCAGCCACACUGGGACUGAGACACGGCCCAGACUCCUACGGGAGGCAGCAGUGGGGAAUUUUGGACAAUGGGCGCAAGCCUGAUCCAGCCAUGCCGCGUGCGGGAAGAAGGCCUUCGGUUGUAACCGCUUUGUCAGGAAGGAAAUACUUCUGGUUAAGUACCUCGGGAGGAGUGACGGUACCU